This 311-nucleotide ribosomal RNA is filed under the name uncultured bacterium. Its description in RNAcentral is "bacterial SSU rRNA". It matches the Rfam family "Bacterial small subunit ribosomal RNA", at positions 28 to 334 of the family's 1533-position model. The record is from RNAcentral.
GACGAACGCUGGCGGCGUGCUUAACACAUGCAAGUCGAACGGAAAGGCCCUGCUUUUGUGGGGUGCUCGAGUGGCGAACGGGUGAGUAACACGUGAGUAACCUGUCCUUUUCUUUGGGAUAAGCAUUCGAAAGGGUGUUUAAUACCUUAUGUUCUGUCUGCCUCGCAUGGGGUGGGUGGGAAAGGCUUUGGCUGGAAUUGGGUGGGCUCGCGGUCUAUCAGCUUGUUGGUGGGGUGAUGGCUUACCAAGGCUUUGACGGGUAGCCGGCCUGAGAGGGUGGUCGGUCACAUUGGGACUGAGAUACGGCCCAG